RNAcentral lists this long non-coding RNA (277 nucleotides) under Elaeis guineensis (African oil palm). RNAcentral's name for it is "long non-coding RNA (EGUI_LNC077306)". Lineage: Eukaryota; Viridiplantae; Streptophyta; Magnoliopsida; Arecales; Arecaceae. The record is from RNAcentral.
ACUGCAUCAACCAUGCACUGGACCAUGUCAUCUGGAGAUGCGAGAUCGCCCGAUCCAUGUUUGACCAAGCCUCAGAUUCUCAUGCCUAUCUACCAACUUUCCCUCAGCCUAUAUUCGACGACCACAUUGUCGAAGUGUUCCAUGCUUAGAGAUCUUGUCUUAGGCGGCAUGGAGAUCUUUCUGGAGCUGUGCCACAUGAUCAGCGAAAUGUCUUCUUGCCUCUUUUACAGCAGCCUCUAACGAUUCCAGUUUUGAGAUCCUGUCUCGAGACCAGUGA